UAAUCUGGGGUGAGGACAGUGUCUGGUGGGUAGUUUGACUGGGGCGGUCUCCUCCCAAAGAGUAACGGAGGAGCACGAAGGUUAGCUAAUCACGGUCGGACAUCGUGAGGUUAGUGCAAAGGCAUAAGCUAGCUUGACUGCGAGAGUGACGGCUCGAGCAGGUACGAAAGUAGGUCUUAGUGAUCCGGUGGUUCUGAAUGGAAGGGCCAUCGCUCAACGGAUAAAAGGUACUCCGGGGAUAACAGGCUGAUACCGCCCAAGAGUUCAUAUCGACGGCGGUGUUUGGCACCUCGAUGUCGGCUCAUCACAUCCUGGGGCUGAAGUAGGUCCCAAGGGUAUGGCUGUUCGCCAUUUAAAGUGGUACGCGAGCUGGGUUUAGAACGUCGUGAGACAGUUCGGUCCCUAUCUGCCGUGGGCGUUGGAAGAUUGAGAGGGGUUGCUCCUAGUACGAGAGGACCGGAGUGAACGCACCACUGGUGUUCGGGUUGUCAUGCCAAUGGCAUUGCCCGGUAGCUAAGUGCGGAAAAGAUAAGCGCUGAAAGCAUCUAAGCGCGAAACUUGCCUCAA
RNAcentral lists this ribosomal RNA (567 nucleotides) under Serratia marcescens. Its description in RNAcentral is "partial 23S ribosomal RNA". It matches the Rfam family "Bacterial large subunit ribosomal RNA", at positions 2236 to 2802 of the family's 2925-position model. The record is from RNAcentral. Lineage: Bacteria; Pseudomonadati; Pseudomonadota; Gammaproteobacteria; Enterobacterales; Yersiniaceae.